CGGCGUGCCUAAUACAUGCAAGUCGAGCGAACAGAUAAGGAGCUUGCUCCUUUGACGUUAGCGGCGGACGGGUGAGUAACACGUGGAUAACCUACCUAUAAGACUGGGAUAACUUCGGGAAACCGGAGCUAAUACCGGAUAACAUAUUGGACCGCAUGGUUCAAUAGUGAAAGGCGGCUUUGCUGUCACUUAUAGAUGGAUCCGCGCCGUAUUAGCUAGUUGGUAAGGUAACGGCUUACCAAGGCAACGAUACGUAGCCGACCUGAGAGGGUGAUCGGCCACACUGGAACUGAGACACGGUCCAGACUCCUACGGGAGGCAGCAGUAGGGAAUCUUCCGCAAUGGGCGAAAGCCUGACGGAGCAACGCCGCGUGAGUGAUGAAGGUCUUCGGAUCGUAAAACUCUGUUAUCAGGGAAGAACAAAUGUGUAAGUAACUGUGCACAUCUUGACGGUACCUGAUCAGAAAGCCACGGCUAACUACGUGCCAGCAGCCGCGGUAAUACGUAGGUGGCAAGCGUUAUCCGGAGUUAUUGGGCGUAAAGCGCGCGUAGGCGGUUUUUUAAGUCUGAUGUGAAAGCCCACGGCUCAACCGUGGAGGGUCAU
RNAcentral lists this ribosomal RNA (604 nucleotides) under uncultured bacterium. RNAcentral's name for it is "bacterial SSU rRNA". It matches the Rfam family "Bacterial small subunit ribosomal RNA", at positions 40 to 626 of the family's 1533-position model. The record is from RNAcentral.